Long non-coding RNA from Callorhinus ursinus (northern fur seal), 1863 nucleotides. RefSeq lists it as uncharacterized. NCBI's taxonomy places the organism in Eukaryota, Metazoa, Chordata, Mammalia, Carnivora, Otariidae. The record is from RefSeq and is a predicted model, not a curated record.
GGGUGGGGGGCUUCUUUAUGAAGUUUCCUUAAACUGAUUUGAAGAAGAUCAUCUAAAAUGCUAUGAUUUUUUGAACCUAUAAUAGUUUGGACCUCUUCCCAGAAUGAAUAAGGGGCACUUGCUUUCACCCUAGGUGUUCCUGAGGUAGGGUGUGAGGAAUAUGUGAGUAUCACUAAAUAAGAAGGAUUCCCCUUCAGAGAGCAAGUUCUAUAAAGAGGCAGGGAGUGUGGUACUAAGUUUAAACCUUAGUUUCACUGCUUACAAGAUAAGUGACCGGGGAAUAGGUCACUUAACCUUAUGGAAUUUGUUUCUUCGUUUAUAGCAUGAGGAUAAUGAUACAACUGAGGCCAGGUGUGAAGUGCUGAUGAAGUGCUGAUGAAGGGAAGUCACUUCCCUCUGCUUGGAAGGGUCUUUUCCGUUUUCCCUCCCAAUGCCUUUUUGCUUGGCUAAUUCCUACUACUUACUCAGGACUCGUGUUCUGUCUCCUAUAUGCUGAUGACUGAUGUUGACUCUGACCACACCCUUUCUGCAACAAGACCCACGACCAACCCCAUAUCCCCACGUGCCUUUCUGGUAGCACUUCUCCCUCCUGCUCUGCAUGGUGGGUCACCGUCUGUCCGUUCCUCUGUUCAGGCAGAAGCUCCUGGAGGGGGAGGACCGCCUUUCAUCUCUGCCUCCUACCCCCUACCACCCACCACCGGCCUACAGUUGGAUACAGAGCGCAUUCUAGAGGCAGUGAUGAAUUACUGCCAUGGGGUGGGCGAAAGGCCUGCAGACCCUCUUCAAGCCUCUUUCCUGUGGCAGAACCAGCAAAAGAAGAAGAGCUUGGGGAGUGGGAGCAGGUGGUGCUGUGGACUGACUUUCCCCUGACUCAUUUCCUGUUUCAUGAUGCCUACCGUGCAGUAUUGCUGGGAUAUGUCAGCUGAGGAGCUAUCUUAUUGGAAAGACCGUUGUCCCCACUUGCCUUUAUGCAAUGAAGAAUUAACUCUUCAGCUACAGCCAUCUGCCUUAUAUAACGUAUUUUAUAACACAGAAGGAGAAUUUUAAUAAGACCUCCAACGGGUCCGCUGCCAUUUUAGAGGGAAGGUCGCCUGCAAAGGAAGUACAUGGAAACUCUCAAGAGAAAGCUGUUGAAAACACCCCCAGUGAGAGAAACGGGUGUCAUCCCAUUUUAUUGUCUUCCUGUCACCACAGCCCUUACAUGAUUCUGACAGGCUGCUCUUUUCUCUUGUAGCCAGUGCUGCUUAAUGUCAUUUUCUUGGUUGAACAUCUUUAUUUCUGACUUGUUACAAACCAUUAACUAGUUUCCAGGUUUCAGUGUCCUGGAUACUUUUGACUAGUAAGUCAUUUGGCAUAACAAGGUUUCCCUUUAUCUUCUUGUGAAAGAAAAUCUCUACAUGAAAUGAUCAAUGUUCCAAUUUUUAUGAAUCCUAGCAGUUAGGAAGUGCCUGUCAUCGGAUGCAAGGCAUCUUUUCUGAAAGCAUAUUCUGCUUCAUAUAAUGGAACUUGACAGACAUACUAGGUAACCAUUACACUGAAGAAAACUUCAAACAAUUUAGGGGAAAAGCAGAGAAUUUUACAAAUAUACUUAACUUGUGAUGGUUUCAAAUAAACAUAACAAUACUGUUUUUAAUUAGAUUUUGUGGAUGAAAUGUUUUCACACAUAAAAUCCUUUGGAUAUAUUUAAAAAAAACAUUCAGUAGUUUAACAGUUGUCAAUCUCCAUAAACACACUUUAAACGUGUUCAUUACAUGUAACAUUGCUAAAAUGAAGACUGGCUGCUUUGGGUGUUGAUCUUAAAAAUAAUACAGACAGACAUGUGGCUGGAUGACAUACUGCUAAAACACGAAGAACAACUUAGAC